Molecule: RNA transcript, 3553 nt
Organism: Vespa velutina
Lineage: Eukaryota; Metazoa; Arthropoda; Insecta; Hymenoptera; Vespidae
Gene: Gpat4
Gene name: glycerol-3-phosphate acyltransferase 3
Exons: 10
Source: RefSeq, a predicted model, not a curated record
AUGUACGAAGGUAAGGUAUGCGAAACUUUAACUCUCGACAGUGCUCGACAGUGCUCGACAGUUAGCAAAAUGGCGUUCCCGUGGGUGGUGAUUUCAUUCGCGUUUUCUUUGCUAUUAACGCCAUUCCUUAUGUUUUUACUUGCUAUUAUAUUUCUGGCAUCCAUUGGUAAAUCACUCGGUGUUCGCAGAUUAUACGUAAAACUAUUAUUAGCACUUUUUGAGUAUGGUAGGCAGAAUAUAGAAAAAGAAAGAAAUAAAAAUAAUGUCUUAGAAGAAGAGGAGGAGCAUGAAUCUAUUGCGAGAAAUACACAACAAAAAUUAAACAAACAUUCCAUGGACAAGGAAUUUCAAAUACAAAAUGGAAUUAUGAGUAAUAAUCAAGUCAUAGCUAGAUCAACAGAUUUGAUUUUAUUACCUGAGCCAGAGAUGCAAAAUAAUAAGAAUCAUAUAGAUGAACAUACAAAUGAGAAAAUUGAGGAAAUUUCAAAGGAUAUAGAUAGCAAUAAGGAGAAUACUCUUAUACGACGUAAUUCUUUUGAAACGCUCAAAAAAGGAUUUGAACCAGCUGUUUGCUUAGAUUACAUCAGGGCUGGAGUAGAGGCCAUUAUUGAAGAUGAAGUAACUUCACGUUUUGAAGCAGAAGAACUAAAGAAUUGGAAUCUUCUCACACGAACAAAUAGGCAUUAUGAAUUUAUAUCUUGGAAAUUAACAGUAAUAUGGAUGUUUGGAUUUUUUAUGCGAUAUUGUUUUCUUCUACCUUUGAGAAUAUUCAUCUGUUGUAUAGGAAUUCAUAUUUCGAUUUGGAUACACAUCCCAGAAAACAAACCAGAAACUAGAUGUAGUUACUUACACCUUCAUUAUCGACGUUUGUAUCUUAUACAUACAAACAAGUUUAGAAUUGGUAGUAUCUACACAGCAACUAUUCAGAGGGAUUCGUCGUUUCUCAGGUGCAAAGCUUGUGGUUUACAGGUGAUGUGGCUGACAAUGUGCACAGCAGUAGUGGGCUACAUUCCAGAGGGUAGCUUCAAACGAUGGCUGAACUACAAAGUCUCCAUAAUGUGCUUUGCUGUAUUAUCCAGUGCUUUGUCUUCAGUCAUUACUUACCAUCAUCCAGAAAAUCGACCAGUCAGAGGCAUAUGUGUAGCUAAUCACACAUCUCCUAUUGAUGUACUUAUACUUAUGUGUGAUAAUUGUUAUUCUUUGAUAGGUCAGAGGCAUGGUGGAUUCUUGGGGAUUUUACAAAGAGCACUUGCUCGUGCUUCUCCACAUAUAUGGUUUGAACGUUCUGAAGUUAAAGAUAGAGAAGCAGUUGCAAGAAGAUUAAAAGAACACGUAUCAGAUCCCACAAAUCCACCGAUAUUGAUUUUUCCUGAAGGAACUUGUAUCAAUAAUACGUCUGUUAUGCAGUUUAAAAAGGGUAGUUUUGAAGUAGGUGGUGUUAUCUACCCUGUUGCAAUCAAGGUAAUUACGAUCCACGAUUUGGUGACGCGUUUUGGAAUAGUAGCCGUUACUCAAUGUUACAGUACUUGUAUAUGAUGAUGUCUAGUUGGGCUAUAGUUUGUGAAGUUUGGUAUUUACCUCCAAUGUACAGAAACGAAGGAGAGAGUGCCAUUGAUUUUGCAAAUAGAGUAAAAUCAGUUAUAGCAAGACAAGGCGGACUUGUUGAUUUACAAUGGGACGGUCAACUUAAAAGAAUGAAACCAAAGAAAGAAUGGAGGGAGAAACAACAAGAAGAAUUCAGUAAACGCCUUAAAGUUGAAUAAACAUACAUUCCUUCUAGUCACAUCAUUUUUUGCAUAGCACGUGAUACUUCAUUGAAUCAGAUAUUUUUUGUCUGCAUUGUUGUUUCACCUAUUUGUGUCAUCUUUAUAAAUAUUUAUAACAUUGUGCGCGUAAUUAACGUUGUAAUCCAACUUAUUUGUAUCUUCAAAUAUGGAACAUUGCACUUUGAUUUAUUGUAUCAGAUAUGAUAUGUAUAUUAUCAUCUCAGCAUUUUGUUAUCAGGGUAUCAGUAUCUCCAGGAUUUCUUGAUACAUAAUCUUCAAUUACAUCUUUUCUAAAUAUAAGUUCGAAAUAAUCUUUGUAAUUAAAUGUUCAACAUUUUUAUUUUUUCACUGAGUAAAACCCAUUAAUAUAUAAUAUUUAUUUUCAAUAUAUAAUUUUCGAAGACAGUAAUAAUUACAUUUUUAUUGCAAAUAUAUUUUUUAUGAUAAAUAAAGCGUAAAAAUAUUUUCUUAUAAUGGAAGUAUUUUAUAUGUUCAGUAAGCAACCUUAUAAAAAUAGAUUAUAAUUUUAAAAGUGCAAGAACCAUAUUUGUAAGUUUUAGGCAUUGUAAUUUUAUUUAUAUUUUAUGAAAAUUGUAGUAUUGUUUUACUUGUGCGAGUGUACGUUUUAAUUUUCAAAAAACUACUACAUAUAUAUGUAUUUGUGCAGACACAUACAUACAUAUAUAUAUUUUUAUAAUAGUAAUUAUUCUAUUGUUUUGAUACAAUUUGAAUUCAAAAGCAAUUCAACAAAUAAUUUAACAUAUAAAAUAUUAAUCCAAUCACAUUUUAAUAAUAAUUUAAUAUUAUGUGGAAAUAAUAGAGAAAAAUAUUUCUUUAUUCUCUGUUGUUUUCUUAAAAAUGAAUAAAGAAUAUUGUUUUUAUUACAUUACUUGACUAUUUCAAUAUUGUUUGUGUGACAACAUAUAAGAAUGUAAAAUACAAUUUAUCUAUCAUAUUUCCAUUACUAAAAUUGUUAUUGAACAUUAGUGCUUUCUAUUUUAUUGAAAUAGUAAAUACGCGUAUAAGUUAAAAUUUCUUUACUUUAUAAACGUAUAUGUUUAAGAUAUUUAUCAAAUUUGACAAAUUAAUUUCAUGAUAAAAUUUACAGAUAUUAAAAUUUUUAUAAUUACUAGUCAGCAAAUAUUUUUUAUACAAAUGGCAGCACAACAAUCAUAACUUUUACACAGGAAUUUAGAAAUUAUACUGUUAUGUAAAACAAUUUCUUUUUCUAAUUAUAACAUACAUUUAACUAUAUUAAUAAUUUGUAUAACCUGUGUAGUAACAAAAACACAUUAUUGUAUAAUAUUUCAUACUUAUAGAAGAUGAAAUUUAAACGAAAUAAGAUUCAUUAUUUCUACAUAUAUAUUUUAAAAUUAAGAAAGUAAAUUAUCUUUAAUAGGAAAGUUUGAUUUAGAAAGAUCAGUUUCUUGUUUAACAGAAUAAUUACAUUCUGUAAUCAGAUUAAUCUCCAUGUAUAUUUAUUUAUUCUAUGAUGGCUUUUUAUAUAUUUAUUCUUUUAGAAAUGACAUUUUUAAUGUAUACAACACUAUUCAAGUUUUAUAUAAAAAGUGUCAAAAUAUAUUUUUGUAGAAGUAAAAUAUAUAAGUAGUUAUAAUAUUAAAAGUUUCAUGUAGAUAUGUGUCUAUUCGAAGAGAUAAUCACAUGUCUAAUUGAAAUUUUAUUUUAUAAAACCACUAAAAAUAGAUACAUCUAUUUGUAUCAGAUUAUGUAUGUAUCUUUGUGCUUAGAACAAAAAACUUUCACAGAAUAUAUUACUUUUUAUGAUA